CCGAGUUUGGGACCCUUUGGGUACCAUCUCCCACCAAUUGUGAACCCUUUUCGUUGCCUCGGCGGGUCUGAUGUACCCAUCCUCUGGCUUUUGCUGGGGAGUCCCCGCCGAUGGAUUUUCAAACCAGACUUUAACCUACAAUCUGAGUCAAACAAAAUAAAAACA
Molecule: unclassified non-coding RNA, 165 nt
Filed under: uncultured fungus
Lineage: Eukaryota; Fungi
Description: sequence contains ITS1, 5.8S rRNA gene
Source: RNAcentral